Molecule: ribosomal RNA, 433 nt
Filed under: uncultured bacterium
Lineage: Bacteria
Description: partial 16S ribosomal RNA
Rfam family: Bacterial small subunit ribosomal RNA
Source: RNAcentral
AACGAACGCUGGCGGCAGGCCUAACACAUGCAAGUCGAGCGAGGACUUCGGUCCUAGCGGCGGACGGGUGAGUAACGCGUGGGAACGUGCCCUUUGCUUCGGAAUAGCCCUGGGAAACUGGGAGUAAUACCGGAUGAGCCCUUUGGGGGAAAGAUUUAUUGGCGAAGGAUCGGCCCGCGUUGGAUUAGGUAGUUGGUGGGGUAAUGGCCUACCACGCCGACGAUCCAUACCUGGUUUGAGAGGAUGAUCAGCCACACUGGGACUGAGACACGGCCCAGACUCCUACGGGAGGGAGCAGUGGGGAAUCGUAGACAAUGGGGGAAACCCUGAUGUAGCCAUGCCGGGUGAGCGAUGAAGGCCUUAGGGUUGUAAAGCUCUUUCAGCUGGGAAGAUAAUGACGGUACCAGCAGAAGAAGCCCCGGCUAACUCCGUG